GCUGGGCGUGGUGGCGCAUGCCUGUAAUCCCAGCUACUUGGGAAGCUGAGGCAGAAGAAUCAUUUGAGCCCAGGAGGCAGGGGUUAGAGUAAGCCAAGAUCGGGCCAUUGUACUCCAGCUUGGGCAACAGAGUAAGACUCUGUCUCAA
Macaca fascicularis (crab-eating macaque) is the source of this 148-nucleotide unclassified non-coding RNA. It matches the Rfam family "Metazoan signal recognition particle RNA". From Rfam's summary of the family: The signal recognition particle (SRP) is a universally conserved ribonucleoprotein. Lineage: Eukaryota; Metazoa; Chordata; Mammalia; Primates; Cercopithecidae. The record is from Ensembl.